GAUGGCGACCGGCGCACGGGUGAGUAACACGUAUCCAACCUGCCGAUAACUCGGGGAUAGCCUUUCGAAAGAAAGAUUAAUACCCGAUGGUAUAAUAAAGCCGCAUGGUUUAAUUAUUAAAGAAUUUCGGUUAUCGAUGGGGAUGCGUUCCAUUAGGCAGUUGGUGAGGUAACGGCUCACCAAACCUUCGAUGGAUAGGGGUUCUGAGAGGAAGGUCCCCCACAUUGGAACUGAGACACGGUCCAA
This 246-nucleotide ribosomal RNA is filed under the name uncultured bacterium. RNAcentral describes it as "partial 16S ribosomal RNA". It matches the Rfam family "Bacterial small subunit ribosomal RNA", at positions 87 to 334 of the family's 1533-position model. The record is from RNAcentral.